Molecule: ribosomal RNA, 904 nt
Filed under: Salmonella enterica subsp. enterica serovar Bovismorbificans
Lineage: Bacteria; Pseudomonadati; Pseudomonadota; Gammaproteobacteria; Enterobacterales; Enterobacteriaceae
Description: partial 23S ribosomal RNA
Rfam family: Bacterial large subunit ribosomal RNA
Source: RNAcentral
GAGUCUUAAUUGGGCGUUAAGUUGCAGGGUAUAGACCCGAAACCCGGUGAUCUAGCCAUGGGCAGGUUGAAGGUUGGGUAACACUAACUGGAGGACCGAACCGACUAAUGUUGAAAAAUUAGCGGAUGACCUGUGGCUGGGGGUGAAAGGCCAAUCAAACCGGGAGAUAGCUGGUUCUCCCCGAAAGCUAUUUAGGUAGCGCCUCGUGAAUUCAUCUCCGGGGGUAGAGCACUGUUUCGGCUAGGGGGCCAUCCCGGCUUACCAACCCGAUGCAAACUGCGAAUACCGGAGAAUGUUAUCACGGGAGACACACGGCGGGUGCUAACGUCCGUCGUGAAGAGGGAAACAACCCAGACCGCCAGCUAAGGUCCCAAAGUCAUGGUUAAGUGGGAAACGAUGUGGGAAGGCCCAGACAGCCAGGAUGUUGGCUUAGAAGCAGCCAUCAUUUAAAGAAAGCGUAAUAGCUCACUGGUCGAGUCGGCCUGCGCGGAAGAUGUAACGGGGCUAAACCAUGCACCGAAGCUGCGGCAGCGAACGUAUCACUUAAAGCGAUUCAGCGGGUUACGAUUGACGGAGCGAAGCGACGUCAAAGCGUAUACAAAGUCGAGUCGGUUUAAGGAUACGUUCGUUGGGUAGGGGAGCGUUCUGUAAGCCUGUGAAGGUGGCCUGUGAGGGUUGCUGGAGGUAUCAGAAGUGCGAAUGCUGACAUAAGUAACGAUAAAGCGGGUGAAAAGCCCGCUCGCCGGAAGACCAAGGGUUCCUGUCCAACGUUAAUCGGGGCAGGGUGAGUCGACCCCUAAGGCGAGGCCGAAAGGCGUAGUCGAUGGGAAACGGGUUAAUAUUCCCGUACUUGGUGUUACUGCGAAGGGGGGACGGAGAAGGCUAUGUUGGCCGGGCGACGGUU